Molecule: ribosomal RNA, 274 nt
Filed under: uncultured bacterium
Lineage: Bacteria
Description: partial 16S ribosomal RNA
Rfam family: Bacterial small subunit ribosomal RNA
Source: RNAcentral
AUACGAAGGGCCCGAGCGUUAUUCGGAAUCACUGGGCUUAAAGCGUACGUAGGCUGGUAUAUAGGCGUCUUGUGAAAUCCCUCGGCUCAACCGAGGAACUGCAAGGCGAACCAUAUAUCUUGAGACAGACAGAGGUCGUCGGAACGAUUGGUGGAGUGGUGAAAUGCGUUGAUAUCAAUCGGAACGCCGAAGGAGAAGUCAGGCGACUGGGUCUGUUCUGACGCUGAGGUACGAAAGCGUGGGUAGCGAACGGGAUUAGAAACCCCUGUAGUCC